Molecule: long non-coding RNA, 214 nt
Filed under: Homo sapiens (human)
Lineage: Eukaryota; Metazoa; Chordata; Mammalia; Primates; Hominidae
Description: non-protein coding lnc-RRM2-2:1
Source: RNAcentral
GUGUGGUUUUCCAGGCGAGUCCGUGGGCUCCUGGGUGGGUGGUCGGGCUCGUGGGGAGAUCCCAAGCAAUGGUUGUAGAGGGAUGGGAGGGAAUGGGUGGAUCCCAGAGAGAGAGAGAGAGAGAGAGCAGGCUGGUUCCACUGUGGCCUCGUUGUCUAAUGAGGAGAGUGUACAGAUAAGUCAUGCUUUGUUUUGCUCUGUCUCUGGAAUUUUA